GACGAACCGUGCGAACGUUAUUCGGAAUCACUGGGCUUAAAGCGCGUGUAGGCGGAUGGGGACGUCGGCCACUGAAAGCCCCUGGCUCAACCGGGGAAGGGGUGCCGAAACGGCCCGUCUGGAGGGGCGUAGGGGGACCUGGAACUUCCGGUGGAGCGGUGAAAUGCGUUGAGAUCGGAAGGAACGCCCGUGGCGAAAGCGGCGUGCUGGACCCCUUCUGACGCUGAGGCGCGAAAGCCAGGGGAGCAAACGGG
RNAcentral lists this ribosomal RNA (254 nucleotides) under uncultured bacterium. RNAcentral describes it as "partial 16S ribosomal RNA". It matches the Rfam family "Bacterial small subunit ribosomal RNA", at positions 524 to 776 of the family's 1533-position model. The record is from RNAcentral.